AUACGUAGGGGGCGAGCGUUGUCCGGAAUGAUUGGGCGUAAAGGGCGCGUAGGCGGCCCGGUAAGUCUGGAGUGAAAGUCCUGUUUUUAAGAUGGGAAUUGCUUUGGAUACUGUCGGGCUUGAGUGCAGGAGAGGUAAGUGGAAUUCCCAGUGUAGCGGUGAAAUGCGUAGAGAUUGGGAGGAACACCAGUGGCGAAGGCGAAUUACAGGACUGUAACUGAAGCUGAGGCGCGAAAGUGUGGGGAGCAAACAGGAUUAGAUACCCUGGUAGUCCACACUGUAAACGAUGAAUGCUAGGUGUAGGGGGUAUCGACCCCUUCUGUGCCGUAGCUAACGCAUUAAGCGCCCCGCCUGGGGAGUACGGCCGCAAGGCUAAAACUCAAAGGAAUUGACGGGG
Molecule: ribosomal RNA, 397 nt
Filed under: uncultured bacterium
Lineage: Bacteria
Description: partial 16S ribosomal RNA
Rfam family: Bacterial small subunit ribosomal RNA
Source: RNAcentral